AGGUGAGCCAGUACAGGAUGGACCCGCGUCUGAUUAGCUAGUUGGUAAGGUAACGGCUUACCAAGGCGACGAUCAGUAGCCGACCUGAGAGGGUGAUCGGCCACAUUGGAACUGAGACACGGUCCAAACUCCUACGGGAGGCAGCAGUGGGGAAUAUUGCACAAUGGGCGAAAGCCUGAUGCAGCAACGCCGCGUGAGUGAUGAAGGCCUUCGGGUCGUAAAACUCUGUCCUCAAGGAAGAUAAUGACGGUACUUGAGGAGGAAGCCCCGGCUAACUACGUGCCAGCAGCCGCGGUAAUACGUAGGGGGCUAGCGUUAUCCGGAUUUACUGGGCGUAAAGGGUGCGUAGGCGGUCUUUCAAGUCAGGAGUGAAAGGCUACGGCUCAACCGUAGUAAGCUCUUGAAACUGGGAGACUUGAGUGCAGGAGAGGAGAGUGGAAUUCCUAGUGUAGCGGUGAAAUGCGUAGAUAUUAGGAGGAACACCAGUUGCGAAGGCGGCUCUCUGGACUGUAACUGACGCUGAGGCACGAAAGCGUGGGGAGCAAACAGGAUUAGAUACCCUGGUAGUCCACGCUGUAAACGAUGAGUACUAGG
RNAcentral lists this ribosomal RNA (594 nucleotides) under Clostridioides difficile. RNAcentral describes it as "bacterial SSU rRNA". It matches the Rfam family "Bacterial small subunit ribosomal RNA", at positions 205 to 820 of the family's 1533-position model. Lineage: Bacteria; Bacillati; Bacillota; Clostridia; Peptostreptococcales; Peptostreptococcaceae. The record is from RNAcentral.